GCAAGUCGAGCGAACGGACGAGAAGCUUGCUUCUCUGAAUGUUAGCGGCGGACGGGUGAGUAACACGUGGAUAACCUACCUAUAAGACUGGGAUAACUUCGGGAAACCGGAGCUAAUACCGGAUAAUAUUUUGAACCGCAUGGUUCAAAAGUGAAAGACGGUCUUGCUGUCACUUAUAGAUGGAUCCGCGCUGCAUUAGCUAGUUGGUAAGGUAACGGCUUACCAAGGCAACGAUGCAUAGCCGACCUGAGAGGGUGAUCGGCCACACUGGAACUGAGACACGGUCCAGACUCCUACGGGAGGCAGCAGUAGGGAAUCUUCCGCAAUGGGCGAAAGCCUGACGGAGCAACGCCGCGUGAGUGAUGAAGGUCUUCGGAUCGUAAAACUCUGUUAUUAGGGAAGAACAUAUGUGUAAGUAACUGUGCACAUCUUGACGGUACCUAAUCAGAAAGCCACGGCUAACUACGUGCCAGCAGCCGCGGUAAUACGUAGGUGGCAAGCGUUAUCCGGAAUUAUUGGGCGUAAAGCGCGCGUAGGCGGUUUUUUAAGUCUGAUGUGAAAGCCCACGGCUCAACCGUGGAGGGUCAUUGGAAACUGGAAAACUUGAGUGCAGAAGAGGAAAGUGGAAUUCCAUGUGUAGCGGUGAAAUGCGCAGAGAUAUGGAGGAACACCAGUGGCGAAGGCGACUUUCUGGUCUGUAACUGACGCUGAUGUGCGAAA
Molecule: ribosomal RNA, 720 nt
Filed under: uncultured Staphylococcus sp.
Lineage: Bacteria; Bacillati; Bacillota; Bacilli; Caryophanales; Staphylococcaceae
Description: bacterial SSU rRNA
Rfam family: Bacterial small subunit ribosomal RNA
Source: RNAcentral